AACGAACGCUGGCGGCAUGCCUAACACAUGCAAGUCGAACGAGACCUUUGGGUCUAGUGGCGCACGGGUGCGUAACGCGUGGGAACCUGCCCUUAGGUUCGGAAUAACUCCCCGAAAGGGGUGCUAAUACCGGAUAAUGUCUUCGGACCAAAGAUUUAUCGCCUUUGGAUGGGCCCGCGUUGGAUUAGCUAGUUGGUAGGGUAAAAGCCUCCCAAGGCGUCGAUCCAUAACUGGUUACAGAGGAUGGUCAGCCACACUGGGACUGAGACACGGCCCAGACUCCUACGGGAGGCAGCAGUGGGGAAUAUUGGACUAUCGCGGAAGGCCUGAUCCAGCUAUGCCGCGUGAGUGAUGAAGGCCUUAGGGUUGUAAAGCUCUUUUACCCGGGAUGAUAAUGACGGUACCGGGAGAAUAAGCACCGGCUAACUCCGUG
Molecule: ribosomal RNA, 433 nt
Filed under: uncultured bacterium
Lineage: Bacteria
Description: partial 16S ribosomal RNA
Rfam family: Bacterial small subunit ribosomal RNA
Source: RNAcentral